UACGUAGGGUGCAAGCGUUUAAUCGGAAUACUGGCGUAAGCGUGCGCAGGCGGUUUGUAAGUUUGUCGUGAAAGCCCCGGGCUCAACCUGGGAAUUGCGAUGAAGACUGCAAGGCUUGAAUCUGGCAGAGGGGGGUAGAAUUCCACGUGUAGCAGUGAAAUGCGUAGAGAUGUGGAGGAAUACCGAGUGCGAAGGCAGCCCCCUGGGCCAAUACGUGACGCUCAUGCACGAAAGCGUGGGGAGCAAACAGG
Molecule: ribosomal RNA, 251 nt
Filed under: uncultured bacterium
Lineage: Bacteria
Description: partial 16S ribosomal RNA
Rfam family: Bacterial small subunit ribosomal RNA
Source: RNAcentral